UGUGUAGAUGGAACUGCCAUUCUCUGGCUUUGAGCUGACCUUCAUCAUCAUCGCCUUCGUCAUCUUCUCCCUCUUCACUCUGGCUUCAGUCUGCAUCCAGCCACAAGAAGACGAACCAGAAAAAGGUGUCCUUGAAGCAAAGAAGUCCCAACCACGCAACAGGAAGCAGAGAGUGAUCAUCAAACAAGCUGGACGCAAACCAUAGAUCUCCAUCAGCUGGAUUUUAAUUUCACAUUCAGAACUCAAAGUGAACUAAAAACUGCAAAAAUCGCUUCUCAUUUAGUUUAUUUUGGCAUUAAACAUGAGUCAUAGUUGCUCAUAGUGUUGAGAUAAUGGCUGCAAUUCUGGAUUUUCACAAUAAAACAAAGGCAACCAUGA
Stegastes partitus (bicolor damselfish) is the source of this 378-nucleotide long non-coding RNA. RefSeq lists it as uncharacterized. The transcript has 2 exons. NCBI's taxonomy places the organism in Eukaryota, Metazoa, Chordata, Actinopteri, Pomacentridae. The record is from RefSeq and is a predicted model, not a curated record.